This 254-nucleotide ribosomal RNA is filed under the name uncultured bacterium. RNAcentral's name for it is "partial 16S ribosomal RNA". It matches the Rfam family "Bacterial small subunit ribosomal RNA", at positions 524 to 776 of the family's 1533-position model. The record is from RNAcentral.
UACGUAGGGUGCGAGCGUUAAUCGGAAUUACUGGGCGUAAAGGGUGCGCAGGCGGUCUCGUAAGCUGGGUGUGAAAGCCCCGGGCUUAACCUGGGAAUGGCAUUCAGGACUGCGAGGCUUUGAGUGUGGCAGAGGGAGGUGGAAUUCCACGUGUAGCAGUGAAAUGCGUAGAGAUGUGGAGGAACACCGAUGGCGAAGGCAGCCUCCUGGGCCAGCACUGACGCUCAUGCACGAAAGCCAGGGGAGCGAACGGG